Molecule: long non-coding RNA, 1049 nt
Organism: Oncorhynchus mykiss (rainbow trout)
Lineage: Eukaryota; Metazoa; Chordata; Actinopteri; Salmoniformes; Salmonidae
Source: RefSeq, a predicted model, not a curated record
CACAGGAUCAAGGCAAGCAGCAGUCACUGCCACUGGGGGUGCUGUUUCGGGUGCUGCUGACGUAACGAUCGUCCUCUUGUCGUUGUUUGCUGUCCAGUUCCCUCCAACACUCGUUAUAGUAGGUACACAACUUGGCGUGUCAGUAGACAAUUCGCUGUACCCGUUCAAGUAGACAAAGCAAGUCAAUCGUUGGACACAGUUUUACUGGAGCCUGACCUUUUGAGACGCUGCGGGCAAAACAACUAUUCUUACCACCGAGAUAAAGACAAUUUCAAGUUGGAUAUUCACGCUUUCAAACCUCAAUCCACUUGAGCCACAGACACCAAAAUGUCCAUGGACUGUCAGAUGAGCGGUAACGUGAAUGAUCCCGGAGCAGCUGGCGGGAGCCCUGGGGAGAGUUCUCUUUUCUUUGUGAAGGGCAGGGCACCCUGGAAUGGGUUUACCUUGAGAGAGGGGCCCUGGAAAUCAUUGCGGUUUCAGCGUCGUCCGACCAAGUUAACCAGAAAGUGAAAGAAAACAUCCCUUCAAUUGCAUCAGCCAUCAUAAGAUCCAUCAUGGAGGUGUCUCACACCAUGGAAACAGAGGAGCUGAUGACAUGCCUCCAGAUCCAGCUCUACACUGCAUAUUGCCCCUGGACACAAGUACCAGGCUGAGGACCCAGUGAGGCAAUUGUGCAUUGAGUUUCUUUCAUAGAUUACUUUUACUACAAUAACAGCCAUAUUGUAUUAUUUUCUCUUUAAUUAGAAGCAGUUUUCUUAAAAUGCUUAACAUUCUGAAAGCUUAAAUCAAAAUAUUGACUGUGGCAACAAGCUAUCAGUACCUCAAAUGUUUUUAUAUUCUACCUUAUAACCUACUCCUCAAGUAUUAUCCAGACUUACGUUAUUUUAUAAAAUGUGACACUAAAGAAUGUGAAUAUUACCCUUUUUCAUGAUACCCAAAUAAGAGCAAGAAUCAGAAUUCAAUGAAGGACGAUGUUAAGGUGGGGGAAGGAUAUUGUUAUGUCACCGUUUUGUAAAUGUUGAUUAUAAUAAUUAAACCGUUUGAUUUGA